Mugil cephalus (flathead mullet) is the source of this 157-nucleotide small nuclear RNA. RefSeq annotates it as U1 spliceosomal RNA. The transcript has a single exon. NCBI's taxonomy places the organism in Eukaryota, Metazoa, Chordata, Actinopteri, Mugiliformes, Mugilidae. The record is from RefSeq and is a predicted model, not a curated record.
AUACUUACCUGGCAGGGGAGAUACUGUGAUCAAGAAGGUGGUUCACCCAGGGUGAGGCUCGCCAUUUGCACUCCAGGUCGUGCUGACCCCUGCGAAUUCCCCAAAUUGUGGGAAUCUCGACUGAUAUUUUCUGGUAGUGGGGGACUUAUCUCCCCUG